This 253-nucleotide ribosomal RNA is filed under the name uncultured bacterium. RNAcentral's name for it is "partial 16S ribosomal RNA". It matches the Rfam family "Bacterial small subunit ribosomal RNA", at positions 524 to 776 of the family's 1533-position model. The record is from RNAcentral.
UACGUAGGGUGCAAGCGUUAAUCGGAAUUACUGGGCGUAAAGCGUGCGUAGGCGGCUUUGUAAGACAGAUGUGAAAUCCCCGGGCUUAACCUGGGAACUUCAUUUGUGACUGCAUGGCUGGAGUGCGGCAGAGGGGGAUGGAAUUCCGCGUGUAGCAGUGAAAUGCGUAGAUAUGCGGAGGAACACCGAUGGCGAAGGCAAUCCCCUGGGCCUGCACUGACGCUCAUGCACGAAAGCGUGGGGAGCAAACAGG